GUACUUGUUUCUGCAGCACAUAUAUUAAAAUUUGAAUGAUACAAAGAAUAUUAGCAUAGCCUUUGCACAAAGAUGACAUGCAAAUUCAUGAAUUACUCCAUAUAUUU
Small nuclear RNA from Choloepus hoffmanni (Hoffmann's two-fingered sloth), 107 nucleotides. The record is from Ensembl. Lineage: Eukaryota; Metazoa; Chordata; Mammalia; Pilosa; Megalonychidae.